UCCUUUAUAAGAGUUGGUCAAGGUUUCUCU
Molecule: non-coding RNA, 30 nt
Filed under: Rattus norvegicus (Norway rat)
Lineage: Eukaryota; Metazoa; Chordata; Mammalia; Rodentia; Muridae
Source: RNAcentral